CGGGCGCUACUCCAUUCUCAUAGCCCCCGGUAAGCCGUCCAAAAGGAGGAGAUCAUUUCCGCCUGACCGGCGGUGCGGCAGUGUGGAGACCUGCCGUAAAGCGUUGGGAGUUUCGCUCUCCCGUCGUGAGGGAGUCUGUGCGGAUGCACGGCUCUUACGGUCGAGUAUUAUGGCA
Molecule: non-coding RNA, 175 nt
Filed under: uncultured Dysosmobacter sp.
Lineage: Bacteria; Bacillati; Bacillota; Clostridia; Eubacteriales; Oscillospiraceae
Description: malK-I RNA
Rfam family: malK-I RNA
Source: RNAcentral